Molecule: ribosomal RNA, 292 nt
Filed under: uncultured bacterium
Lineage: Bacteria
Description: partial 16S ribosomal RNA
Source: RNAcentral
GGACUACUGGGGUAUCUAAUCCCGUUGGCUCCCCUGGCUUUCGUCCCUGAGCGUCAGAUGCUUCCCAGGACACUGCCUACGCCUUUGGUGUUCCUCCGGAUCUCUACGCAUUUCACCACUCCACCCGGAAUUCCGUGUCCCUCUGAAGCCCUCAAGUCUGCCAGUUUUCGAAGGCCCUUCUCAGUUGAGCCGAGAAUUGUCACUCCAAACUUAACAGACCGCCUGCGGACGCUUUACGCCCAGUAACUCCGGACAACGCUUGCUCCCUACGUAUUACCGCGGCGGCUGGCAC